CCCGUUUUUUUGUUAGGGCUUGCCUGUUGGGGGCUCUGCUGGAUUUCGCGGGUCACAGAGGCUGGAGUCCAGGCCAGCAAAGCAAAGGCAGGCUUCUCCAGAGGUCUGACCUCACUGACUUUUAGUCUCUGAGGCGCCAGUCCCUGGACUGUAGGGGUGACAGUAGAGUCUUCACAGCCAAAUAAAAGCGAUCCAGGGCCUCUGCUUUCCCUGAGGAAACUCCAUCGAAGGAAGAUUGCAAGAGCAGUUUUUUCGCAGUCAACAUUUGCAGAUACUCUGGAAAAUAGGAAGAGAACCCAACCCAACCCAAACUGAAAGUACCAAAAUAUGUGAAAUCCGUACAGCAAAGAUGAUGAGCUUUCUGGGAGGAGAUACUGAAAGAAGAGUAAUUCUGUCCAGGGGGUCACUUCGAGAUCAUCCCUCUCACCUGAUGCUACUGACCUUGGAGAUUAAGGAGAUGUUGAAAGCAGCACUGCAGUCUCAUAAUUUUGGAAGUCUCCCUUGAAAGCUUUCUCUGCAUUGUUUUGGAGCCUGUCCUGGAACUUGAUCUGUAGACCAGGCUAGCCUUGAACUCACAGAGAUCCACCUGCUUCUGCCUCCUGUGUGCUGGAGUGCUGGAAUUAAAAGCAUGUGCCACCAACACCCAGCCUGAGUGGUUUUGACCAGUUUCUCUAUUGACUGGAAAUUUCAAGAACUGCAUUUUCCUGGGCGUUCUGUUUCUUAUUCUUUAUUUGAUUAAAUAUAUUUUUAUCUAUGGUUAAGACACAUAGGAUUAUGAUCAUGUCAUAAGCGCCAAGGAAGAAGAAAAUGUUUAAACCAAAAUAUGUGACUUCAUUAUUUAAGGAACUUCAUUGGUCUUUAUCAUCAUUAGCAUUAUCAAUAACAUGUUUGGAAUCAGAAAUUUGUAAUAAUUAUUUUAAUUCCAUGGUAGAACCAAUCAAUGCUAAUAUGAGAACACAAGAGAUAGAAAUUGAAUUAUUUUUUUUACUACAAAAAAGGACAAAGAAAAAGAAAGAAAUCCCCUUCCACCUUCCCCAGAAUUUAUAAUUUGAGUUUAGCUUACAUUAACUCAUGGUUCUUGGGUGUGUAUCAGAGGUAGAACACAGCAAGCUUACUCCAACUUUCUCAAAUGUAUCAGGCUUCAGGAUGGGAAAUCAGUGGGUAUUGUGUUAUUACAAAUAAUCAGCCAAAUGUAAUAUUUUUUUUGCUCAAAAUAUGGGAAUGUUAAGAAGUGUAAGAUCUUGUUUAACUGUUAGACUGCUGAUUGUAAGGCCACUUUAGUUUAUAUCUUUGUUCUCAAAUUGAAUCAAUAAAUAUGAAGAUAAAUUUUACAGGUCAAUCCAGGAAUAUAGUAAGUCUUAAAAUGUUUUUUAGUUUGAUACUUAUGAAUUAAAUAGACAGGAAAUUGUAAAGUUAUGGCAUUUGACAUCUGCUUCAUAUUAUCAUGAUGAUGUCUUGAUUGACUGCUGUUUUCCUUGUCUCUUCAGAGUUUCUUCAUGUCCAGAUACAUUUGUGAAACUGCUUCUAGAUGACAAGAUGUUAUACUUCAGUGAGUUGUAGGAAGCAGUAUACAUAGCAAAAUUGCAUUUGAUUCAGUGCUUUUUUACCAUUGGUUAACUGUUUUAUUUAUUUUUCUUGGAAUUGGGUUUUAACCCAGGAUAACAUAUAAGCUAAGAAUAUGCUUUACCUUUGACCUAAAGCUUAUCUCUCAUUGGCAACUGUGUAUUUAAUAUUAUUGUAGACCUUUCAUUAUAACAUUAACUGAUCAAAAAAAAAAAAACAAAACAAAAAGAGGGAAAAAGACAGAAAAUAAUUCACACACAAUCUGUGUGUGUUAUAAAGAUAUAUUUUAAAUAUCAAUUUUUAAUGGAAGAAGCAUUUGAAGAAUAUUUACCAAAUACUUUUGAAGACCAAUAUACAUAUAUCAUAAAGCAUAUUUAUCUGUCAGCAUACCUAACACUAAGAGAAUUUAGAGCAAUCAUGCAUCAUCAUUGACAGUUCCUUAUCAUGUCUAGGUCACUGUCUGUUUAAAAGUUGCAAUCAACUUUUUGUGAUUUUUCUUGGUCAUUUAUAAUAGCACAAUCCAUGCUUAUUUAUUAUUUUGCAGUCUGAUAUCUCUGGGGAAAUGUUAGGAACACACUUUCUGCUCUAUUUCUCCAGCACACACACUGAGAGGAACUUCACAAUAAUAAAGUUUUACAAUGGGAAAAAAAACACAAUAAGCUUUGAGACGAUGACUGAAAGCUACAGGGUGGCAUCCCAGGGAAUAAAGUCAACCAAUGGAAGAGUGCCUGGCACCUCUGUCCUUCCAGAUCACAGAACAUAUGCAAAGGUCUCCCAAAAGCCAAAGGGAGGCAGAUGGACAGGAAACAGGCAGGAGUGGGUGAAAUUCAGAUACAGGCAUUGGAUUGUAUGUCCUUCUGCUUACUCCCUGUUUCCAUAUUGAACAAUUUGAAGUGUCUCACUUCUUUCUCUCUUACACUGAGGUCUUUCCACCUAAUCCCAGCUCUUUGUGAACACAAGAGGAUGGGAGAACAUUCCUCACAGGAUACUAUUAACACUGGGAAGAAUUUGAGUCAGUGCUUGGCUGUGAAUCUCUGCUUCUGCUUCCAUCAGCUACUGGAUGAAGAAGACUCUAGGAUGGCAUUUAAGAAUCCUCAUCCAGUGGCUGAUGGAAGCAGAGGCAGACACCCACAGCUAUACACUGAACUGAACUCUGGAACCCAGUUGCAGAAAGAGAGGAAUGAAGAUCAAAGGGGUCCAGACCAGGCUGGUGAAUCCCACAGAAACAGCUGGCCUGAACAAGGGGGAGCACAUGGACCCCAGACACUGAUGUACAUUCAGGGAAAACAACAAGCUCAAAGUACUGGGCAGAGGAAUGUGUCCUCCAGUGAAACCUCAAGCUGGGGACUAAGCUCCUAAGGGAAAGCUGACACUUAAGAAACUCAACCCUUCAGAGAACCUGAUGAAACUCCACUGACAAAACUUAUGAUGGUCUGUUCUCUUCCACUGGAUCUCAAACUUGGGUACUCAGACUUGGUUAUCCAUAUUACUACUCUGCUUUAAUUUGUGGAAAUCUUCAUUCUUUCAUCAAUAUUAUUUUUAUUUUGCAUUAGAAGAUAGUAAAGAUCAAUUACUAGAUACUGAUUUCUUGAUUUAUUUAGUGAUUUGCUUAAAGUACUGUUUGUUCUGUCUACUUGCCAAGUAUGACUUCACUUGUUAUGUGGAACAGAAUGACAGGGAAAAAUAGCAGAAAAAUGGUUGUUUCCCUUAACAACCUGCUGAUUGCCAGGUAAGAUUCUACAGAAUCUGUCUUGUGGUUUUAGAGUAUAAAAUGAGACUACAAACUCCUUGGGACUGAAGCAUUUUAGAAGCUUGUCUGGCUUCAGUCUGUUAGUGAAUCUUCUCUCUUUUACUCUUUAUGGUGUUGGAGUGCUUAUUCAGAAACAUUCCUGAAACAGUAAACUUUUAUCUUGUCUGAUUAGUUGUUAUGGUCCUCUAUCUGUUUCUGUGCCUAGUUUAUUGGAUUUCCCCCACCCUGAACUGCAACCUAUCUUCUUCCUGCUAUGCCAUUUUCUCUUUCUGUCUCUGCCAUCCUGCUGGCUCUAUAAUUCUUAGAAAUGAUUUCCUAUGGCUUUACAACAUUUAAACUCUACUAGUGCUGUCAAUACCCCAACUCAACUUUCUAAUAUCACUUCUCUGUUGCGUUUGUAAGUCAUUUCUUGUCACUAUCAGCCCCCUUUCUUUACACCACAUUUAAAAUGUGGUGUAAUGUCCCUCCCCCUUUUUUCUAACAUAUUUAUUAAAGCAGAGGGGAUGAUUGUUUGUAAAUAGUCAUUACUGCAUUUUCACAGAUGAUCUACUGACCAGUUGUGCUUGCUACUUCAGCUAAUUUUCCACUAAUUGAACAGUGCUGGAAAUAAUUGUUGAAAACCUGAGAAUGUGAGCUAAGUUUUUAGCUACUGGGAUGCAUUCCUAAUCUGGAGGGAAAAUAUGAUAUUUCAACCGUAUACUGCUAAAGUAACACUUGAACAUGGAAAGUUCUUCAACUAAAAUAAUGAGUGGUUAAAAUUACAAUCAACAACUAAAUUCCAGGCUCACAAUUACCUAUAUAGAAGCAUAGAAUCAAGUUCUCAUGAUUCCUCAAGAUGAGUGUCUUAGAUAAUUUUUGUCACUGUGGAAUACACACUUAGCAAAUCUACUUGUGAAAAAGGGGCUUGCUGUAGCUUAUAGAUCAAGGUGAUAAUACAAAUUGUCUGAAUGAAAAUCAAUACUGAAUAAACCUGAAGCAUGUG
Molecule: long non-coding RNA, 4295 nt
Filed under: Cricetulus griseus (Chinese hamster)
Lineage: Eukaryota; Metazoa; Chordata; Mammalia; Rodentia; Cricetidae
Description: lncRNA (ENSCGRG00015032698.1)
Source: RNAcentral